Molecule: ribosomal RNA, 657 nt
Filed under: Culicoides similis
Lineage: Eukaryota; Metazoa; Arthropoda; Insecta; Diptera; Ceratopogonidae
Description: eukaryotic LSU rRNA
Rfam family: Eukaryotic large subunit ribosomal RNA
Source: RNAcentral
UAAGGGCUUACUGUAUGACCUAAAUAUCUGAUGAGGAAAUUCAGCAUUAUUGUGCCAGAUGAUGGUACAAUGGUGUGCACUUUUCUUCUAGUAAGACGUUGCGAUCCAUUAGAAAAUUUAUUUAAAUCUGGAUAUAGGCCCCAAUAAGAAUUUAUGCUAUAAACCAAUAACAUGACUUUGUUGUUAUGUGAAUGGCUGGAAACUAUUUGGUGGUCUUACCGAUGUCUGAAGGGAUUAAGAAUAUUUGUCCCAAACCAUUCCCUGGGAAUUGAUAUCUCUUGGGGAUAUUAUGGCUACAUUAACCACAACGUUUUAAAUUUAAGAUACCCUCCGGACCCCUCUUGAAACCCGGACCAAGAAAUCUAACUUGUAUGCAAGUCAUGGGAUUAUUAAAACCUAUAGGCGAAAUGAAUUACUUGUUAUGGGAUUACAAUGUACAUUAUCUAUUUUUCCUCCCCGGUAUCUAUGUAAUACUGCAUUUCGGUUGUGUGUACUACAAGAUAUACCGUGAGAUACAGCUGUGACCCGAAAGAUGGUGACUAUGCCUGAUAGGUGGAGUCAGGGAACCCUGAUGAAGACGUACCAUUCUGACUGCAAUCCAUUGCCAAGUUGGUAAGGGCGAAGACCAUCGAACAUCAGUAACUGUUCUCUUCCGAA